GACGCGAGUUCUAUCGGGU
This 19-nucleotide small nuclear RNA is filed under the name Arabidopsis thaliana (thale cress). RNAcentral's name for it is "snRNA_19009". The record is from RNAcentral. Lineage: Eukaryota; Viridiplantae; Streptophyta; Magnoliopsida; Brassicales; Brassicaceae.